CCCCAAAAGAAAAUCUGUCACUGCUUCCAUUUUUUCCCCUUCUAUUUGCCAUGAAGUCAGACAUAUGUGGGUUCAAAUUUUACCUCUGCCUUGUAGGAGGUUUUUGACAUUACGCAAAUCACUUUACAUCUUUGUACCUUGGGUUCCUAACAUAUAAAAGAGGGUAAUAUUAACUACUUUACAUGGUUGUCAUGAAGGUUAAAGUAAAUGACAAGACACAUGUAGUGUCUUUAACACAGUGCUUAGUAUAUAGGAAGCACAUGCUCACUGGUAGCUAUAAUAAAUAUAUUUCUUCCUGGAAUGAAAACUUUUGGAAGUGAUGGCCCAGGAUAGAGUCUGUCUUGCUCACCACUAUAUCCCUGCCCCCAGCUCCUAGGGCCUGUGCAGCCUCUCUGGGUAGGCUGGUUCCUGCCCCACUGCGUGCUGAACAAGUGGGAGCUUGUAAACUAAGUAGGAUGUCAUUUUGAGUCAAUGUUGCUCUAAUUUCUUUAGACAUUUGUGAAGAACAAUUGGAUUUCCUUCAGUUUUAAUUUCCCUCCCUUCCCAGAUGAAUUUUCCAAAUGUCUACUUCCUAUUUCCUCCAUCAAGGCCAGAGUUGAAGGAAGCUGGCCUUCAAUUUCCAGCUAGGCUGGGAGCGCCAUAUGGGCUCAAGAGCAAAACUGUAUUGGAAAAGCAGCAGAAGCACUGAAAUGAAUUACUGUGCGAUGGGGCUUCAGAUGAUAGUACAAGGCAAAGCCUGGUCCUAAUUGGCAGUGGAGUUACUCAGGUUCAAGUUUUGAAACUGCUUUUGAAUUUGUCUGAUAAUCCAGCCAUGACAGCCGGACUUCUUGGUGUCCAAUUUCUACCCAACUCUAGCUAUGGUCAAUAUUAGCUGGAUAAUUCCCUGAAUCUGGCUUAUGUGGAAUCUUGCAAGGACAAAGAGGAUUUGCUCACUCAUCGCCCUACACUGUGAAAGAUUGAUCCAUGCUGGUGACCUACCGACACAUCCUUAACCACCUGGGUUGGAGCAUGAGUUGAUUCAGCAGGAAGCAGGAAGGUGAGUGGAAGGAUGGAGGUUGCCAAGCAAUGAGCCUCAGCUGUUGUCUGCAGCACUGUUAAUGGGGCUGAAUCUGCUCUGUGUUUAGCUUGAAAGCACAUUGCAAAGGCAGGCAAGAGGCAAAGGUCUGGAGAUGUGGAGGCAUAGAAGCCACAGAUUUUGCUUUUUAGCUUGUGUCCUGGAUGUGUGCACUGGAUGACAAAAGAAUCAUUGAAAGUGGACUGUGAUGGGCAGUCAAUCUAUCCUGGAUGGACAGGUUUCUAAGGGUUUUAAGGUCUUGUUAGUGGUAGAUGGUUAUCCUUGGAAUGUGAAGUGAGAAGUGCUUCCAAAAUGUUUUUCUUAUAGUUACUUAAACCCCAUCAUUAAAGAUCAUCCUUUAAGAAUUUUCAAAAGCAAUUUUUUUUUUUGGCCACACCUCGAGGUAUGCAGAACUUCCCUGACCGGGGAUUGAACCUGUACUUUCUAAAGUGGAAGGACAGAGUCUUAGCCAAUCGACUACCAGAGAAGUCCCCAAAGCAAUUUUUAAUAAAUUAACUUUAUUUAAUAGGCACUUAUGUGGCACUGACUGUAUGCUAGGCACUGAGGGCCUUAGAGAUGUUAACUACUAUAGUUAUUCCUUGUAACAACCCUAUGAGGCAGGCACUAAUUUUAGUCAUAGUUAUUCCUUGUAACAACCCUAUGAGGCAGGCACUAAUUUUAGUCUCCCAAUUUUAGAGAUGAGGAAACAGAGAGAGAGAGAGAAAGAGAGGUCCAAAAACUCACAGCCAAUGAAUGAAACAGCCAGGAUUGCAAAUCCAGGCAGGCUGGCUCCAGAGUCUGUGCUCUUAACCAUUAAACUAUGCUGACUCUCAUAGCAUAGGGUGUUCCAUUUAUAUGGGGGAUGUGUGACUCUUUCUAGUGAAUUUUUUUAACCUAAUCAUACUAUCAUCCCCUCCACCCAGUAGAGAGCAGGAUUUGGAAUGCUUUGAAUGGAAGGGGCAUAAAACGACCUGAUGAGACUGUUGGGGGAAAUGAUGCUGUCAGGAUGAGAAUCUUGUUAAAGGGCUAGAUCCCCCAGCACCGCUUCUCCCUAAAAACACAUCAUUCAAGGAACUGUGUUUUCACCUCUAUCUUCUAGUUUGUAUGAAUUUGAUUCUAGUGGUUAGCACUCAGUCUUACCUCUUGUUUUUAUUUCAUAUACUCAGAGGUGGAUUCUCAUGCAUCCAGGUAACAAAGAAUGGUUUGGGCUGACUGGGAAGCCUUGGGUGGCCAUCUUAAAACCAGUUCCCAGUUCUGUAUUCAGAGUCAGUGCACGUUGCUUUUCCAGGACAGCUCCUGGAGACUGCCCUGACAAGAUGACUUCCUCUUCCCUGAAUACUUUGUUGUUGUUGUUGUUUUUAACUUGGGGGCACACUGAGCAGCAUGAGAGAUGCUAGUUCCCCCACCAGGGAUCCAACCCACACCCUCUACAGUGGAAGGGUAGAGUCUUAACCACUGGACCACAAGGAAGUCCCUCCCUGAAUACUUUGGGACUGGAUGCUGCUCUCUGAUCACUCAAAGCCCCCAUUAGCUUUUCCCCAUCCUGCUUUUUCCUCACACUGUACUUCACACGUGAUGCCAACCAAGUAGGCAAAGGGUCACUUCUGUCUGUCCAGAGGGUUGUCACCUGGUGUCACAUAGCCCAUUAUUUUCAGUCUAUAACUGACUCUUUUACAUGCCCCUGUCUAUGGUUUUUCAAAACUUCAAUUUUCUGUAUUAGACUAACAUGUUUCCCUCAAUAUUCCAGAAGACUAUCAGAUGGAAAAGGGGGCUGUUGAGGAUUUGGAUGGGUAUCACCCCACCGAUCCUUGUCCCUGGAAUGUUGGCCCCAGCCAGAUACUAUAAUAAAGUCAGAAAUGCAAACACCUACUACGCACAAGAUGCUAUGUAAGCUAUUGCAUGCCCCAGGCGCUGCUCUGAGAUGACCUCACUAGAUCAUGGUAUUCUCUGCUCCAAGAGAAAGAAAAGGUAUCUUGACUGACAAACAGACUUUGUUCUCUGUGUGUAACUGGGAAUUCAGCUCCUACACUUUGGCACUGCGCUCAUUGUCUUCAUAAUUAAUGCUAAAAAGAACGGAUUCGGAAAGAACAGGGGAAUAAGAGGCUCAUUCUCCAGAGGGGGCCUUAGAAGUGGACUCAGUGCAUUUUCCCCCACCCCAUUAAUCCCCCAUGGUCACACGUGGGGAAUACGAAUGCCCUUCUCAGGCCCUCUGGUUCAAUUUCACCAGAAGACAAUUGACCUAUUGCCACUGUGAGGAGCCAAGCCUUGAACAAAGCAGCUGCCGAAAGGACUCUGUCAAGCUGGCAAUGAAUUAUUAAUAUGGCUCUGAAAGGGAACAGCAUCGGAAACCAGGUUCUUUAUUAUUUACAAUAAUGAGCCGGAAGAUGAUGCAGUGGACAAAAAUCCCAAGUUUGGAGAAUGCUGUGUACGAAUGAAGAAACAACGCAAAACUGCAAAUGUAAAUUCAGACUAAUACCUCUUGGAACAAAGAGCGCAAAGAGGGAAUUGUUUCAGAGCAGUAAAAGGCUAGAUAGAGCAGGGUGUCAAGUCAUUACCGAAAUUCCCUGCCGUCAGUUUGUUUGAGAAUGAAGCUCAGACUUAGGAAGGAAGAAAAAGACCCAGAUUGCCUGCUGGACAGACACAAUACAAUGCGCGCAUCAAAGGUGGUGGCGUUAUCUCUCUGAGAUGUGUGCCCAGUACAAUAUGCCAUUCGCUUCUUAUCUGGGUUGAAUGGUAAAUUAUUCUAAUACAAUAUCAUACUCUGCUCUUCAGAGAGAUUCCAAAUCUUCACAGUUUGAUUGGCAGAGGUGUGUAUAGGUGCGGGCUUUCUGUGUACUUCCUCUAAUGCAGAUGCUUUUCUUUCACUGCACAGAGAGCCCUCUCUCCCAUCAAUAACCUCCCUCCCUUUAUCAGAAAUGGUCCUUUGUUUAACCCUCUCUGUCUUGACUCCAGUCCCGUAUUUUGACUGUUUCACCGUGUAAGCCCCAGUGUGGCAAUGCCUGCCUCCACAGCAAGCCCAACAAUCUCCUGAGAUGAGAGACAAGACACCGUUUUGUCCCAUUAAAUUAGAUCCUCCCCUCAAACUGACAUUCCUAUUUUGUUUGAAUCGUACUUUGUCAUACUGUAUCUCUCAGUUUCUAGAUUUUUGGCUACUUGUCUUCCUUCCAAUUUCUAUCUUUUACAGAGCCCCCAGUUUCUGUUUUAUUCUGGCUUCAAUCAUCUGUGGCCUCUUGGUUAUUGUUUGCUUAUUAGGCUUCUGCCCCAUGAGUUCCCCUCACCUUCUCUGUUCCCUUUUGCUCUGAUACUUUCUUGCCUGGGUUGCUUGACGCAGAUCCAUUGCCUGCUGUGAUUUCUAGAACCUGCAUAAUUGCUAGUAAAAUUCCUUGCUUCACUGGCCUGUAUUCUCUCCUAUGGGGUACUUGGACUUGGUAUAAUUAAUACUCUGAAAUGAUGCCAUUAUGAAUACUUCUCCUUAUACAACUUUGUACUAUUUUUUCCCCAAUACAGCUUUGGGUCAAUUUGAACAGAGAUAGGAGGAUGGCUGACGGGUGUGUAUAGGCACCUAUACAUACGUAUCGACCCACUUGGAAAGUAAUUUGGUCACUUUCUGUUAAAUAUCUAUCACAGCAAAGCA
Bubalus bubalis (water buffalo) is the source of this 4688-nucleotide long non-coding RNA. RefSeq lists it as uncharacterized. The transcript has 4 exons. The record is from RefSeq and is a predicted model, not a curated record. NCBI's taxonomy places the organism in Eukaryota, Metazoa, Chordata, Mammalia, Artiodactyla, Bovidae.